UUCCAUAUGAAGCAGCCCCGGAUGAUGAGGCGGAAAAUGAUGAAUGAAUAAUUGUAGUUUUAAAGUUUGUUUUUAUAUGUUGUAUUGUCUUCCCUGUUGCUGUAAUUUCUUUCCAAUAAAUAAACAAGGUUUAUUUCAUCUUUGGCAUCUUAUUAUUAUUUUUGCUAAUGGCAAAAGGCGAAAGAUAACGGGUAUGCACUCUCGGUAUUUAUAAGCUUAAAUUGAGGGGGAAUUCUCAAAUUGAGGGGGAACAAAUUGCAUACUUGUUA
Molecule: long non-coding RNA, 269 nt
Filed under: Nicotiana benthamiana
Lineage: Eukaryota; Viridiplantae; Streptophyta; Magnoliopsida; Solanales; Solanaceae
Description: long non-coding RNA (NBEN_LNC032100)
Source: RNAcentral